Molecule: ribosomal RNA, 453 nt
Filed under: uncultured Bacteroidaceae bacterium
Lineage: Bacteria; Pseudomonadati; Bacteroidota; Bacteroidia; Bacteroidales; Bacteroidaceae
Description: bacterial SSU rRNA
Rfam family: Bacterial small subunit ribosomal RNA
Source: RNAcentral
GUGGUUUAUUCGAUGAUACGCGAGGAACCUUACCCGGGCUUGAAUUGCAACUGAAUGAUGUGGAGACAUGUCAGCCGCAAGGCAGUUGUGAAGGUGCUGCAUGGUUGUCGUCAGCUCGUGCCGUGAGGUGUCGGCUUAAGUGCCAUAACGAGCGCAACCCUUAUCGAUAGUUACCAUCAGGUGAUGCUGGGGACUCUGUCGAGACUGCCGUCGUAAGAUGUGAGGAAGGUGGGGAUGACGUCAAAUCAGCACGGCCCUUACGUCCGGGGCUACACACGUGUUACAAUGGGGGGUACAGAAGGCAGCUACACGGCGACGUGAUGCUAAUCCCGAAAGCCUCUCUCAGUUCGGAUUGGAGUCUGCAACCCGACUCCAUGAAGCUGGAUUCGCUAGUAAUCGCGCAUCAGCCACGGCGCGGUGAAUACGUUCCCGGGCCUUGUACACACCGCCCGU